UUCCAGAACCCUCGGUAAGAAUUUAAUUUCAUUAUAUUAAUUUAGAUUUAUAUAUUACAUGUAAUUUAAUACAAAUGUUCUUUAUUUUGUAGAAACCUCUUCAGAAACCAAGUCUGCAAAAGAAGCUUCCAGUUCCCAUUGAAGAUCAAAUAGCUUCUUUAUUAUUAGCGGCUAAGGAUAUUGGUACAAACCCACUCGAGGUUCCGUUGAUGAUACUUUUUUUGGAAGAAACACUGACAUCCCCCUAUACAUAUACAUGCCAGAUGUGUUAGAAUUUGCAGUUGGAAACCAG
Molecule: long non-coding RNA, 292 nt
Filed under: Phaseolus vulgaris (common bean)
Lineage: Eukaryota; Viridiplantae; Streptophyta; Magnoliopsida; Fabales; Fabaceae
Description: long non-coding RNA (PVUL_LNC000408)
Source: RNAcentral